Molecule: ribosomal RNA, 274 nt
Filed under: uncultured bacterium
Lineage: Bacteria
Description: partial 16S ribosomal RNA
Rfam family: Bacterial small subunit ribosomal RNA
Source: RNAcentral
AUACGGAGGGUGCAAGCGUUAUCCGGAUUUACUGGGUUUAAAGGGUACGCAGGCGGUAAUUUAAGUCAGUGGUGAAAGCCUACAGCUCAACUGUAGAACUGCCAUUGAAACUGAAUUACUUGAGUAUGGUAGAGGUAGGCGGAAUACAACAUGUAGCGGUGAAAUGCAUAGAUAUGUUGUAGAACACCGAUUGCGAAGGCAGCUUACUAAACCAUUACUGACGCUCAUGUACGAAAGCGUGGGGAGCGAACAGGAUUAGAAACCCGAGUAGUCC